AUUUAUAUAGUAUAAAAAUUAUAUUUAACUUCCAAUUAAAAGAUCUAUUCAGUAUAAAUA
Molecule: transfer RNA, 60 nt
Filed under: Rhagophthalminae sp. GENSP01
Lineage: Eukaryota; Metazoa; Arthropoda; Insecta; Coleoptera; Rhagophthalmidae
Description: tRNA-Gly
Source: RNAcentral